GAACCCUGAAGUCUAUAGGUAGAGAAAAUUGUAAUUGUUGUAGGUAAAUUUCACAUUUUUCACUAUGAUUUAUUUUUUCUUUUUCUUUUUAAUUUUCCUAUAGCACUCUUUCCAUUUCUUACCCCAGUUUUUGAAGCCCUAAAUAUCGGUUUGUUUCCAAAAGAUGUUACCCGUUUUUUAAAAAAUUCCAUUGAAAGGAUGAAAGAAAGUCGCCUCAAAGAUAAACAAAAGCACCGAGUAGAUUUCUUCCAACAGAUGAUUGACUCCCAGAAUUCCAAAGAAACAAAGUCCCAUAAAGCUCUGUCUGAUCUGGAGCUUGUGGCCCAGUCAAUUAUCAUCACUUUUGCUGCCUAUGACACAACUAGCACCACUCUCCCCUUCAUUAUGUAUGAACUGGCCACUCACCCUGAUGUCCAGCAGAAACUGCAGGAGGAGAUUGACGCAGUUUUACCCAAUAAGGCACCUGUCACCUAUGAUGCCCUGGUACAGAUGGAAUACCUUGACAUGGUGGUGAAUGAAACGCUCAGAUUAUUCCCAGUUGUUAGUAGAGUUACGACAGUCUGCAAGAAAGAUAUUGAAAUCAAUGGAGUCUUAAUUCCCAAAGGGUUAGCAGUGAUGGUUCCAAUCUAUGCUCUUCACCAUGACCCAAAGUACUGGACAGAGCCUGAGAAGUUCUGCCCUGAAAGG
This 687-nucleotide small RNA is filed under the name Pongo abelii (Sumatran orangutan). RNAcentral's name for it is "retained intron". The record is from RNAcentral. Lineage: Eukaryota; Metazoa; Chordata; Mammalia; Primates; Hominidae.